AAGGAAGAAGAACUCAUGAAGCAAGUGCAUUUUCGCAACAAUGGUGCAGCUCCCACUAAAUCAGCUUCUGUUUUGAAGGAGAAAAACGAGUUUGAAGUUGGGUGGUCAAUGCUGAAUGUGUAUGAAGGUGAGCUACGAAUUUCUUGCUAAUGGAGAUGGAAGUUUGGGCAAGAGGGAGAUGCAAUAGUAGCAAGAGCACCAUCUCAACCCCUAUUAAUCCAAGGUGCAGUUUAGUAGCGUUUGGUCAAUAGCAGGUUUGGACUGAAGACUUGGAAGUGGUGAUGGCUCGGAGACCUCUUCAGAUCUCAUCUUCCGCUGUGCAGAUCCAUUGAAGACACAUGUUCUGUAAUUCGUAUUAGGAUUUCAUGUUGUAUUUUAUUUGGAUCUUUCUAUAUCUAUAGCUUUUGUAUGUACUCAAUAUCAAUUUUAAC
Molecule: long non-coding RNA, 431 nt
Organism: Vicia villosa (hairy vetch)
Lineage: Eukaryota; Viridiplantae; Streptophyta; Magnoliopsida; Fabales; Fabaceae
Exons: 3
Source: RefSeq, a predicted model, not a curated record